This 415-nucleotide ribosomal RNA is filed under the name uncultured bacterium. RNAcentral describes it as "bacterial SSU rRNA". It matches the Rfam family "Bacterial small subunit ribosomal RNA", at positions 30 to 442 of the family's 1533-position model. The record is from RNAcentral.
AUUGAACGCUGGCGGAAUGCUUUACACAUGCAAGUCGAGCGGCAGCGCGGGGCAACCUGGCGGCGAGCGGCGAACGGGUGAGUAAUGCAUCGGAACGUGUCCAUGUCGUGGGGGAUAGCCCGGCGAAAGCCGGAUUAAUACCGCAUACGCCCUGAGGGGGAAAGGUGGGGACCUAGCAAUAGGCCUCACGCGAUUGGGUCGGCCGAUGUCCGAUUAGCUAGUUGGUGAGGUAAAGGCUUACCAAGGCGAUGAUCGGUAGCUGGUCUGAGAGGAUGAUCAGCCACACUGGGACUGAGACACGGUCCAGACACCUACGGUGGCAGCAGUCGAGAAUUUUUCUCAAUGGGCGAAAGCCUAGAAGGAGCGACGCCGCGUGGGGGAUGAAUGGCUUCGGCCCGUAAACCCCUGUCAUUUG